GGCGAAGACAAGGGAGAUCCGGCUACGUCCCUCCCCUAGGUCUCUGGAAGCUGAAGCCGCUGCAGCCAAGGCCUGGUUUCAUUCUGGCUGGGGGCUGAGGGCUGGAGUUGGACAGCCGGCCUCUCUGCGGUUCCCCCAUUAUGGCUUGGCAUCAGCAUCUAGAUUGCAGGAUUGAUGGAGCCAGAAACCUCCUGCAGGGGCCCCCAGAGGUUCUUGCAUCCAGUGUGGCAUCCAGACAGUGUGUGGUUAAUGAGUCCGAAGAAAGGACCAGCGUCGUGGAGGAGUCCGGCAGCCCUGCAGGAGCACCUGGAGCACCUGGCUGUGGAGGGGCUUCUGGAAGGAAGCACAGGAGCAGAGGAAGGAGAAGGAGUUCAAAUGCCCGUACCUCCCGGGAGUUCCCAUCGUGGCGCAGUGGAAACGAAUCCAACUAGGAACCAUAAAGUUGCAGGUUCAUCAUUUUCUGGGACCAGAGUCCAGUCUCCUGAAUUCUAGCUCUUCUUGGGAACAGCAGGUAGAAGGAGUGAAUCCUACAGGACUCCCAGGACAGCCCUUCUGCUCUUUCAGGGCAGUCACCUUGUCCACACCCCACCUUAUCAUCUUGGGGCUACACCUGCCAGGCCUCCUUACGCUGCCGCUUUAGAGUCCCCACACAACCUCAGCUCUGACAAGAAUUGAUUACGCUUCCGGUCUGAUGGCAGCGCCCCUGGUUUCCAGGGAGUUCCGAGUCUGGGAGAUAGUCUUCUGACAACCAAAACAAUGAAUAGCAAAAUUGCACGGGCAUUUGGGACUGUUGGAUGUCCAGCUGGCACACUUGCUGGUCUAGAAAUGUCCUCAGAGGUGAGUGGGUUUAGUCAAGCCGACCAGAGAGAAGAAUUUUUUAAUUCUAAAACAGCUGUCCUUAUAAAAUAAAAAUAAAUAAAAUAAAACA
RNAcentral lists this long non-coding RNA (928 nucleotides) under Sus scrofa (pig). Its description in RNAcentral is "lncRNA (ENSSSCG00055009131.1, ENSSSCG00070003181.1)". Lineage: Eukaryota; Metazoa; Chordata; Mammalia; Artiodactyla; Suidae. The record is from RNAcentral.